ACGGAUGAUGACUUAUUCUUCUUCAAACAACUGAAUCUCUAUGUUGAACACUUAAUAUAUCAAGCUCAACAGUCUGACA
Molecule: small nucleolar RNA, 79 nt
Filed under: Neurospora crassa
Lineage: Eukaryota; Fungi; Ascomycota; Sordariomycetes; Sordariales; Sordariaceae
Description: box C/D snoRNA CD20
Source: RNAcentral